RNAcentral lists this transfer RNA (64 nucleotides) under Tenacibaculum mesophilum. It matches the Rfam family "tRNA", at positions 7 to 64 of the family's 71-position model. Rfam says of the family: Transfer RNA (tRNA) molecules are approximately 80 nucleotides in length. Their secondary structure includes four short double-helical elements and three loops (D, anti-codon, and T loops). Further hydrogen bonds mediate the characteristic L-shaped molecular structure. tRNAs have two regions of fundamental functional importance: the anti-codon, which is responsible for specific mRNA codon recognition, and the 3' end, to which the tRNAs corresponding amino acid is attached (by aminoacyl-tRNA synthetases). tRNAs cope with the degeneracy of the genetic code in two manners: having more than one tRNA (with a specific anti-codon) for a particular amino acid; and 'wobble' base-pairing, i.e. permitting non-standard base-pairing at the 3rd anti-codon position. Lineage: Bacteria; Pseudomonadati; Bacteroidota; Flavobacteriia; Flavobacteriales; Flavobacteriaceae. RNAcentral also lists the same sequence under 10 other names. The record is from RNAcentral.
CCUAUAGCUCAGUUGGUUAGAGCACCUGACUCAUAAUCAGGGGGUCCAUGGUUCGAGCCCAUGU